AACGGCAGCACGGACUUCGGUCUGGUGGCGAGUGGCGAACGGGUGAGUAAUAUACCGGAACGUAUCCAAUAAUGGGGGAUAACUAAUCGAAAGGUUGGCUAAUACCGCAUACGCCCUACGGGGGAAAGCUAGGGAUCGCAAGACCUGGCGUUAAUGGAGCGGCCGAUAUCUGAUUAGCUAGUUGGUGGGGUAAAGGCUCACCAAGGCGACGAUCAGUAGCUGGUCUGAGAGGACGACCAGCCACACUGGAACUGAGACACGGUCCAGACUCCUACGGGAGGCAGCAGUGGGGAAUUUUGGACAAUGGGCGCAAGCCUGAUCCAGCCACUCCGCGUGAGUGAAGAAGGCCUUCGGGUUGUAAAGCUCUUUCGCAAGGGAAGAAAACUUAUCCUCUAACAUAGGAUGAGGUUGACGGUACCUUGAUAAGAAGCACCGGCUAACUACGUGCCAGCAGCCGCGGUAAUACGUAGGGUGCGAGCGUUAAUCGGAAUUACUGGGCGUAAAGCGUGCGCAGGCGGUUUUGAAAGUCAGAUGUGAAAUCCCCGAGCUCAACUUGGGAACUGCGUUUGAAACUCCAAAACUCGAAUAUGUCAGAGGGGGGUAGAAUUCCACGUGUAGCAGUGAAAUGCGUAGAGAUGUGGAGGAAUACCAAUGGCGAAGACAGCCCCCUGGGAUAAUAUUGACGCUCAUGCACGAAAGCGUGGGGAGCAAACAGGAUUAGAUACCCUGGUAGUCCACGCCCUAAACGAUGUCUACUAGUUGUUGGUGGAGUAAAAUCCAUGAGUAACGCAGCUAACGCGU
Molecule: ribosomal RNA, 801 nt
Filed under: uncultured bacterium
Lineage: Bacteria
Description: bacterial SSU rRNA
Rfam family: Bacterial small subunit ribosomal RNA
Source: RNAcentral